RNAcentral lists this ribosomal RNA (253 nucleotides) under uncultured bacterium. Its description in RNAcentral is "partial 16S ribosomal RNA". It matches the Rfam family "Bacterial small subunit ribosomal RNA", at positions 524 to 776 of the family's 1533-position model. The record is from RNAcentral.
UACGGGGGGGGCAAGCGUUGUUCGGAAUUACUGGGCGUAAAGGGCUCGUAGGCGGCCAACUAAGUCAGACGUGAAAUCCCUCGGCUUAACCGGGGAACUGCAUCUGAUACUGGAUGGCUUGAGUUCGGGAGAGGGAUGCGGAAUUCCAGGUGUAGCGGUGAAAUGCGUAGAUAUCAAGAGGAACACCAGUGGCGAAGGCGGGUCCCUGGACAACACCUGACACUGAGGCACGAAAGCUAGGGGAGCAAACAGG